Bicyclus anynana (squinting bush brown) is the source of this 1374-nucleotide long non-coding RNA. RefSeq lists it as uncharacterized. Lineage: Eukaryota; Metazoa; Arthropoda; Insecta; Lepidoptera; Nymphalidae. The record is from RefSeq and is a predicted model, not a curated record. The transcript is spliced from 3 exons.
CUAAUUCCUUCGAAGCCACUUCGUUAUUUGUGCAUCGCUAAUUAUAAAACGUCGUGCUAAACGUUGCAAUGCACUCGACUUGUUCUAUUUCUAAUUAAUUUGAGCCAUUUCGUCGCUAAAAAUACUAAACUAAUUACGUUCACGCUGGCUGUGGAUUAAGUGAUGUGACAAACAUAUUCGCGUUUACGUUAAAAGUCGAUAAAAAUCUGUGGUUCUAACGAAGAUAGCUGAUGUAAUAAAGAGUAAUAUGAUUUUAACCGCGUAUUCCCACGGUAGUGAUGCUGCGCGAGUGAAGCUGCGGGACGAUCGCCAGUUAAAAUAUGCUAUCUACACAUUAACACGGCUAGUAUGAAGGAAAGUCGAUGAAUAUGGCACCAGGAUCAAAAUUACCGAAUGACGUUUAAGAUUAAUAUUAAUAAUUAAAUAAAACAAUUAAAUAUAUCUACAAACCACAGAACACGCUUUAAAAUUAACGCUUUAAUGAAAGUAGUUGGACAGAAAUGUACAAAUAUAAUAUUAUACAUACGAGACAACUCGGACAAUUAACUUACUCGUAAAUAUAAAAUAAUGUGUAAGAUCAUUAACGUACGUACAAUGUCUAUUAAUAGUAACACUAGAAUUAGGUAAUUAUUCAGAAAGUUGCUGACUAUACCUAUAUAUGAAUCGUGUGUGCAUACAUAACAACUUAAAAAAAGAUUAAAACGUCAUCAAACACACUAAAAUUAGUGUAGCUAAUUAUUCUUAGAAAAUUUGGUAGUCAGCAUUAAAAAAAAUAACGUAAUUUUAUUGUCGACGAGUGAUAAUAAAAAAAAUAAAAGCCUGAAUUGGGAAAUCCGAAAAAUAACAUAAUUAUUAAUAAUGUACCCUAUGUAACUUGCACAACUACGAUGAAUCUAAUUAGUCUGCGUGACACACGAUGCUAAAAAUGUACUUAUGCAAGUGUCACGGAGACCUAUUCGGUAAAUGAUAAAGAGAAUAAGGUGUUUUAUACAAUACCCGCUUUAGGGGAAAAGAACCAAAAGACUUGCAGAAAUUAUCAGAAGUUGUUUUCGUUAUUUUGGAAUUCAUCAUCAUCAUCAUUUGCAGCCGAUGGACGUCCUAGGCAGGUGGACAUAGGUCUCUUGUAUAGACUUCCAAUCACCACGGUCUCAGAUUGCAGAGCAUGUAACCAGCUGGGGUUGAAGGCUGCCAGCAUUCAACGGAUCUCUGCAAUCCGCUUGAUGUCCUCGGUCUAUCAUCCUUGGUGUUGUACUCGACCAUCACUGCGCUUUCCGUUGUGGCGUCGCUAUUCCAGCACCUUGAGACUUCAAUUUUGGAAUUAUUUCCUUCAAAAUAGAAUAAAAAUAUACCAUUAAUGUUAGGAAAUUAAAUAAG